RNAcentral lists this ribosomal RNA (304 nucleotides) under uncultured bacterium. Its description in RNAcentral is "bacterial SSU rRNA". It matches the Rfam family "Bacterial small subunit ribosomal RNA", at positions 28 to 334 of the family's 1533-position model. The record is from RNAcentral.
GACGAACGCUGGCGGCGUGCUUCAUACAUGCAAGUCGAACGAGAAUCGGUAGCUUGCUAUCGAGGAAAGUGGCGGACGGGUGAGUAAUAUGUAGAGAAUCUGCCCUAGAGUGGGGGACAACAGUUGGAAACGACUGCUAAUACCCCAUAUGAGCGUACCUGCAAUGGUAUUCUUGAAAACUCCGGUGCUCUAGGAUGAGUCUGCAUCUGAUUAGCUAGUUGGGGGUGUAAUGGACCACCAAGGCGACGAUCAGUAGCUGGUUUGAGAGGAUGAUCAGCCACAAUGGGACUGAGACACGGCCCAU